GUGUUCGCUUUGGCAGCACAUAUAGUAAAAUUGGAACGAUACAGAGAAGAUUAGCAUGGCCCCUGCUCAAGGAUGACACGCAAAUUCGUGAAGCGUUUUUCGUAAUU
Callithrix jacchus (white-tufted-ear marmoset) is the source of this 107-nucleotide small nuclear RNA. The record is from Ensembl. NCBI's taxonomy places the organism in Eukaryota, Metazoa, Chordata, Mammalia, Primates, Cebidae.